RNAcentral lists this ribosomal RNA (497 nucleotides) under uncultured bacterium. RNAcentral describes it as "partial 16S ribosomal RNA". It matches the Rfam family "Bacterial small subunit ribosomal RNA", at positions 28 to 507 of the family's 1533-position model. The record is from RNAcentral.
GAUGAACGCUGGCGGCGUGCCUAAUACAUGCAAGUCGAGCGAACAGACGAGGAGCUUGCUCCUCUGACGUUAGCGGUGGACGGGUGAGUAACACGUGGAUAACCUACCUAUAAGACUGGGAUAACUUCGGGAAACCGGAGCUAAUACCGGAUAAUAUAUUGAACCGCAUGGUUCAAUAGUGAAAGACGGUUUUGCUGUCACUUAUUGAUGGAUCCGCGCCGCAUUAGCUAGUUGGUAAGGUAACGGCUUACCAAGGCAACGAUGCGUAGCCGACCUGAGAGGGUGAUCGGCCACACUGGAACUGAGACACGGUCCAGACUCCUACGGGAGGCAGCAGUAGGGAAUCUUCCGCAAAGGGCGAAAGCCUGACGGAGCAACGCCGCGUGAGUGAUGAAGGUCUUCGGAUCGUAAAACUCUGUUAUUAGGGAAGAACAAAUGUGUAAGUAACUAUGCACGUCUUGACGGUACCUAAUCAGAAAGCCACGGCUAACUACGUG